This 286-nucleotide ribosomal RNA is filed under the name Azomonas macrocytogenes. RNAcentral's name for it is "partial 16S ribosomal RNA". It matches the Rfam family "Bacterial small subunit ribosomal RNA", at positions 1053 to 1338 of the family's 1533-position model. The record is from RNAcentral. Lineage: Bacteria; Pseudomonadati; Pseudomonadota; Gammaproteobacteria; Pseudomonadales; Pseudomonadaceae.
UGUUCAGCUCGUGUCUUGAGAUGUUGGGUUAAGUCCCGUAACGAGCGCAACCCUUGUCCUUAUUUACCACCACCUUGGGUGGGCACUCUAAGGAGACUGCCGGUGACAAACCGGAGGAAGGUGGGGAUGACGUCAAGUCAUCAUGGCCCUUACGGCCAGGGCUACACACGUGCUACAAUGGUCGGUACAAAGGGUUGCCAAGCCGCGAGGUGGAGCUAAUCCCAUAAAACCGAUCGUAGUCCGGAUCGCAGUCUGCAACUCGACUGCCUGAAGUCGGAAUCGCUAG